UGAGGAAUAUUGGUCAAUGGGCGAGAGCCUGAACCAGCCAAGUAGCGUGCAGGAUGACGGCCCUAUGGGUUGUAAACUGCUUUUAUGUGGGGAUAAAGUGCGUGACGUGUCAUGCAUUGCAGGUACCACAUGAAUAAGGACCGGCUAAUUCCGUGCCAGCAGCCGCGGUAAUACGGAAGGUCCGGGCGUUAUCCGGAUUUAUUGGGUUUAAAGGGAGCGUAGGCUGUCUAUUAAGCGUGUUGUGAAAUAUACCGGCUCAACCGGUGGCUUGCAGCGCGAACUGGUCGACUUGAGUAUGCAGGAAGUAGGCGGAAUUCAUGGUGUAGCGGUGAAAUGCUUAGAUAUCAUGACGAACUCCGAUUGCGCAGGCAGCUUACUGUAGCAUAACUGACGCUGAUGCUCGAAAGUGCUGGUAUCAAACAGG
RNAcentral lists this ribosomal RNA (424 nucleotides) under Fusobacteriota bacterium. Its description in RNAcentral is "Fusobacteria bacterium partial 16S ribosomal RNA". It matches the Rfam family "Bacterial small subunit ribosomal RNA", at positions 355 to 776 of the family's 1533-position model. Lineage: Bacteria; Fusobacteriati; Fusobacteriota. The record is from RNAcentral.